Molecule: ribosomal RNA, 505 nt
Filed under: uncultured bacterium
Lineage: Bacteria
Description: partial 16S ribosomal RNA
Rfam family: Bacterial small subunit ribosomal RNA
Source: RNAcentral
GACGAACGCUGGCGGCGUGCCUAAUACAUGCAAGUAGAACGCACAGUUUAUACCGUAGCUUGCUACACCAUAGACUGUGAGUUGCGAACGGGUGAGUAACGCGUAGGUAACCUGCCUGGUAGCGGGGGAUAACUAUUGGAAACGAUAGCUAAUACCGCAUAAUAUUGAUUAUUGCAUGAUAAUUGAUUGAAAGAUGCUAUUGCAUCACUACCAGAUGGACCUUCGUUGUAUUAGCUAGUAGGUGAGGUAACGGCUCACCUAGGCGACGAUACAUAGCCGACCUGAGAGGGUGAUCGGCCACACUGGGACGGAGACACGGCCCAGACUCCUACGGGAGGCAGCAGUAGGGAAUCUUCGGCAAUGGACGAAAGUCUAACCGAGCAACGCCGCGGGAGUGAAGAAGGGUGUCGGAUCGUAAAGCUCUGUUGUAAGAGAAGAACGGGUGUGAGAGUGGAAAGUUCACACUGUGACGGUAUCUUACCAGAAAGGGACGGCUAACUACGUG